UACAAUUAAUGUUUAGUGCAGCAUUCUUGUUUCCUGGUCGCCAUUCUCUGCAAAACAAUGGGGUGUUUUGCCCAUGAAAUUACUGUUCUGAUUAGGAGGGAUAUGUCCGUCAUUAGACUUUCAAAUGCGAUCCUUCUGCGGCAACAGCGCUGGCAAUCCGGCUGAGAUUAUUCCAGCGAUAUUUCUGUUCCUGAAGGAAAUAGCAAGUGCAAAUAGGGCAAUUUUAUACACUUACCGGGGAAGGGGAUUUGCAUUGAUGGAUGCUGUUGUGUUCGCAGCAAUGACAGCUGGGGCUGGGACGCGCACAGGCUCCACCAGCUCGCAACUCUUGCUCUGUGUUUAUACGUAUAUAUCUCUGCGUAUGUAUAAUAAUCCACUUUUUAACAGGGGUCCGAGCUGGCCCAGACAGGACAGGCAGCUCUGCCAGCGCUGCGGCCUUGACCUUGAAAGCCCAGGGCCUUUGAAUUCAGAGCAGAUGUUCCGGGUUUCGCCAACACCAAAGUCCCAUCAGAAAUCCCCGUUGAGAGCGCAGAGCUGAUACAAAUUCCCACCGGAGAGUUCGAGGCUGGCAAUCAGCUUACUCAUUCCUGGCUUAUCAUCACAAACCUCUGACCUUCAAACAUGGCUGGUGCGGCGCCCGACCGAGAAAACUGAAAUCCAAACAGACCGGGAUUCACCAGCGCUUCCUUACUGCUGCCUGAAUCCUCUCUGAAAAUUCGUGGCCCCACCCGAGGACCCCCCUGGGGAUGCCAGAGCCUCCGGGUAACCCUCACCCGAUGCUGGCAGGGGGCUGGGUCCCACGGGUGGCCGGAGCCCACGUGCCACCUCUCGUGGGGUGUGUGUCUGAUUCUCCUCUGCAUUGCAAGCCCCAGAAAGUGAGGCUGGGGUUUGGGGGGGGAUGCUGGGGAGCAGGGUUGGGUUCUGUUACCCCUUGAAAGAGCCGCCUGUGCACCCCGGGAGCCUCGCGGAGGGCAGCCCCCGAACCUCAGGGCCGCCCCGAGCCAUGGGUGACGGGGAGCAGCAUCCCCCUCGGUGACAUUUCCCAUCGAGGGCAAGAAGAGGGGGACCCACGGAGUGGGGUGGGGUGGUGGUGGGGGGGGUGGUCCUCCCCCUGCCCCAGUAGGAUGAGGCAACUGGUGUGCCACUGGGAAUGGAGGAAUGCAACAAAAUUGGGGGGGAGGCGGGGGGAGAGGAGAAAUUAAUAAUUAUCUAAACCGCACCCCUAUCACUGUUCAUCAAAAUUUGCCCAUACUUCAUUCCAGCCUCCUUUCUUCUUCUUGCCUCCAGUAAGUACUUUAACAUCCUUUUUAAAAAUUAAAGGGGGAGGGUUAUGGAACAGAUAAGAGAUAAUUGCCUAGCUUUGACUCUUCUAUUGAUGUGAAAAUAGGAUUGGAAUUACUCACUCUGGUUGAAAGGUUAGUUGAAGGUUAUUACAGGAAAAUUGUUAUUCAUACAUUUUUUCUGUGCUGCUGGAUAGCCUAAAAGAUUAAAUUCACAGAGUGCAUAAUGACCCAUCACAACGGACAAUGGUGGGAAUAAUCUCCAGAGACUCCAGAUAACAGAACAGAGACUUCUUUGAAUAAUUCAUGGUUCAACAGACAUCCCUCACUAACAGAUUACAUUUUCCUCCUGACCUUCAUGCCAUGGGAACAAAACGCAAAGGGAUAAAGAAAGUCAUUGUUUGUGACAGUCCCCUCUCAUCCGCAUACUGCUGAUGGAGCAUCGGUUUCAGAUUCUGCCUCACACUUGACUGCCUUUAACACACAGGACGGGCGAGUGCUGCCAGCUGAGAACGAUGCUCAGGACAUCCCGGACCACCCGGCGCUGGGGGGGGAUGCUGACGGAGAUGCAGGAGGACCGAGGGUUGUCAUUUCCCAGCCCCUCCGCUGCUCGGCUCCCUCACCCAGCGCCAAAAUCGCCCACCGGCUCUGGCUAAUCUCUUCAUUUCAUCUCGUGGAAUAGCUAUUACGCUUUACAAGCUGAUCGUUUGUUAAAAGCACGUGUUUAUUAAGGUUUAAUGGAGGCCUGAUACACAUCAAUCGCAUUGUUGUGAGCUGCGACAAAUAUAUCUUAAAUAAUUAAUUGAUAUUUAGUAAACAUAUAAUAGUUAUCUUCUCCAAUCUAAAUUAAACAAGAAUUAAAGCUACAUAAU
This is a long non-coding RNA of Tyto alba (common barn owl), 2152 nucleotides long. RefSeq lists it as uncharacterized. The record is from RefSeq and is a predicted model, not a curated record. NCBI's taxonomy places the organism in Eukaryota, Metazoa, Chordata, Aves, Strigiformes, Tytonidae. The transcript has 3 exons.